Molecule: ribosomal RNA, 442 nt
Filed under: uncultured bacterium
Lineage: Bacteria
Description: partial 16S ribosomal RNA
Rfam family: Bacterial small subunit ribosomal RNA
Source: RNAcentral
CCUACGGGAGGCAGCAGUGGGGAAUAUUGGGCAAUGGGCGAAAGCCUGACCCAGCAACGCCGCGUGAAGGAAGAAGGCUUUCGGGUUGUAAACUUCUUUUGACAGGGAAGAGCAGAAGACGGUACCUGUCGAAUAAGCCACGGCUAACUACGUGCCAGCAGCCGCGGUAAUACGUAGGUGGCAAGCGUUGUCCGGAUUUACUGGGGGUAAAGGGCGGGUAGCCGGGCUGAUAAGUCAGAGGUGAAAUCCGGGGGCUCAACCCCCGAACUGCAUUGGAAACUGUUGGUCUUGAGUAUCGGAGAGGCAGGCGGAAUUCCUAGUGUAGCGGUGAAAUGCGUAGAGAUUAGGAGGAACACCAGUGGCGAAGGCGGCCUACUGAACGACAACUGACGGUGAGGCGCGAAAGCGUGGGGAGCAAACAGGAUUAGAUACCCUGGUAGUC